Molecule: long non-coding RNA, 3622 nt
Organism: Rosa rugosa (rugosa rose)
Lineage: Eukaryota; Viridiplantae; Streptophyta; Magnoliopsida; Rosales; Rosaceae
Exons: 5
Source: RefSeq, a predicted model, not a curated record
AAGAAAACAAAAGCUCUCGACCCUUUCGACCUUCUCCCUCUCAGUUCUUGAACACUCUAGGUCCUCUCUCUCUCAGACCUCGGCGCCGAUGGAGGUCAUGGCGUUCGUGCUGAGCUGAUAGGACGACUUCACCGAGUCGACUCAGUGGCAAGACGGCAUCUUCUACGCUCUCUGCACAGCCGACGCCCCUCGGUUCCUCCGUUGCUCUGGUCUCUCUCUCUCUCUCUCUGUUCGCUAUGUAUGAUUCGAUUUCAUGCUUGAUUUUCUAUGGAUUUGAGUAGAGGUUUGGGAUCGGUUAAAUUGAUGAAUAGAAGUUAUAUCAUUGUGUAGUGCAAAUUCGAUUACCCAAAUCUCUGCUCCGAUUUACUCUUAUCCUUGAAAUCCUAAUUCACCGGUUGUUCUUACUCUCCAGCGAGAAAUUAGGGUUCGAAUUGGGGCUCGCUCUUCACUUCUCCAAACCCGCCUCCAAGUCCGUCUACCCAAUUGAUAAUCGAUAAUCGAAGCUCCACUUUGAGUUACCCUGACGUUAUUCUUCAUCGAUUCUCAUCAUUACUCUCUCUCUCUCUAUCUCUCUCGACUCUGUCUACUCCAGAAUCUUCCACACUGCUUCUGUGGAAAAUGAAUACGGUGUGUUUUGUUUGAGCUCUUUAGUGGGUUCAACGUGUUUUGGAGAAUGGUGUGGAAUUGUUGCUGGGUUUUUGGUUUUCUGUGGAACUGUAUCUGGGUUUUCAUUUUCUUGAAGGGUUAUGGUGAUCCUGUUGUUUGGGAUCAGAUAGUGUCUGAUCUGGGUUUAGUUAUUGUGUUUGUUCUUCUUUCUGGGUUUUCUAAAGAGUUAGUGAUCCAUUGUGUUGAACUAAUGGAGAAUUUGCAUUAAUAAGAAGAUAAAAACUUUGCAGUUGGAAAACUAGAAAAUUGGAUCUUUAGGUGUAAUUACUGGGGUGCUUUGUGUGUGUGUGUGUGUUGUAGACAAAUUUAUGAAGAGUGAGAAUCUUAAUUGUGGGCUUUUGGUUUGGUGCGCAUUGUUUUGAAGAAAGCAAGGAUGACUAAAAAGGAAAAUCUGAUGCGAAUGUAGCAAAUGGGGAGUUGAUAAAUACUCUUGUGAUUCUUUCUGGUGACCUUGUCCAAGUUGUUACAAAGGGAGUUUUACUUCCAGCUGAUGGUGUUGCUGGAAAUAUGUCUGGUGACAGAACUGAAGCUGUUACAAGUACUGUUUCUUCUAAUGAGUGUUCAAAGAAUGGUGCGAAGAAGUCAAGUGAGUCUGCCAUAAAUAAGAAGGGUGGAAGGGUGCUAAUGCAAAAUGGGAAUAGCUUUCAUGGUGUUACACCCACAAGGGCUGGCAAGGAACAUGGAGGGAGGAAUAUGCCACUGAAUCAUAUUGAGAAUGCCUCAGAACUUGAAAAUAAGAGAAGUGAUGAGGUAAACUUAUCAGAGGUAAUCUUUUUUUUUUAGGCAUCAUUUUGUUUCUUAAAACUUGAUGAACUUGGUUGUACCUAAAGUCAAGUAGUUUACCACAUCUCUGGCCAAUUUUCUUAAGUAGCUCAAGCGUAAAGAAUCCUAAAUUACUGGCAUAAUCUGUCCACCUUGAGGAAUGUAAAAGGAUCGAUCGUUGAAGUAGGAGUUUUACAAUAGGUGAUAUGAAUAGCAAUGAUCUACCUUUCCCUAUCCGCAGUACACAUCUUUGCACUAUCUGAUGAUAGAAUCCUCUAGUGUCAGCAUGAACAAGAGGUAUGCAUUCUAUUCUUCUUUUUAUUUAUAUCAUUUUAUAGUUGAGAGUAACACUUUGGGCACCACCCUUGAGCUUUGGCCCCAGCCCUUUGUGCCUUAACUCUGGCAUUAGAAGUGCUCACAUGUUAAUGUACCUCCACCAGUGUUCUGUGAUGGACUUUUGGCAUGUAUCUCUUGAGUGAAAAUGCCUCUUCGACUUCUCUUGGACAUAGGCACUUUAUAGGAAAGAAAGUGUAUGUUAAGAAACUCUUCCAAUAGUGCUCUACCACUUUGUGAUAUAUGCUAUACUCAUUUGUGCUAAUCGUUUGUAUAGGCUGACAAAGUUCACGAUACAAAGAUGACAUCCAAGCUAUUUCCUUUCGGAGUAUCUUGUGAUCCUUCCGCUGUAAUUGUUCAACGAGACAUUCAAUGCUGUGAGAGGACAACUUCAGAAUACACUUCCUCUAGUUCAAAUGUUGUUUCUUCAGGUUCCUCAACUUUGUUGAAUCCAGCUGCUAAUGUCUCAAGUCGUAAUUCAGAAACAACAUCAACUGAAAUGAUCCCUCAUGGUUCAGAGUUAAAUAAAAAUGGCAAGGAAUUUAAGCUCAACCCAAGAGCAAAAGUAUUCUCGCCAUCUUUUACAAAGCCCAUAGCAGCCACCUCUCCUGCAGUGCCAACAGUGGCAAGCAUGGGUUUUAUACCAACCAACUGCCCCGUGGUACCUGGUCCUGCCGUCCAGCCAGAAGUUGGAUCGAAUCCAACUAUGUACUGUGCCAUUUUGGCUUGUGUACAUUACUAUGACCUGGUGAUAUUGAUGAGCGCGAGAUUGUUACCCCUGAUGUCAUGACCAAGUAUUUCCUAGGUAAUCCUAGGUAAAUCAAAACCAGUUCAGUUCAAUAGUAUGUUUACCAAUGCUUAGUACCCAUUUUGUGCUAUUCAAGUGACUAGUUUUGUUUUAUUAUUACUUUUAUUAUUUUGUUACCUUAAGAGAUAAGGUGGGCUGAUGGUUGCCGACGAAAAAAGAGGAGGGAUGAAAGGUUAAGAAAGAAAAAGAAAAAGAAGGGGAGUACUGGAGAAAGAAGAGGCGGAGGGAUCAGAUCAAAAAAACAAAAAACAAAAAAGAAGAGGGAGAGAGAAAGAGGAAGGAAUGAAGACAGAAGAAAAGAAGGGGGCGAUUUGAAAUGAAAAGGGGUAUACCCUUCUUGUAGCUCCUUCCAGGGUUUCUUUUCAAGUUGCUUAGCAUCUUUUAUUGUUUUACUACUGUGAGUGACUUUGUUAUAUUCUCUGUUUUCAUUUUUUCUUGUUGGUUUUACUUUGGCUUAUUCAUAAUCUGUUAAAGCUUUUGAAGUGUUAACUAAUUGGUUAAGUUUGGUGUCUGAUGACAUGAGUUUUGGAGUUAUUUGACAUUGCCACAAAGAAAGUCUCUUCCUAAUAUGCGCUGUGACAUUUCCAAGCUUCUUGAGACUGGCCAGGAAGCUACAGCUCGGAUUCGGGUAGAGCAUGUUAUUAGAGAAGAGAAUAUGAUGGCAACUUAGGAGAUCAUCAGGUUAUUUGCUAAGCUUAUUUCUAUUCGCAGAUUGAGGUCUGCUGUUCUUCUGCUGAUUACUUCUUCUAAAUAUAUUGCAAAGAAAUUGGGGCCUUGUGUGCAAUGAAGGAAGUUGACUCCUUCCUGAUGGUCCUAGAUCUGCAAAAAGUAUAAAGCAAUUGGAGCAGGUCCUUCCAGGUUUUAUUGAAGCCAAAGGCAGCUGAAGGCUAAGAGCCAUCGAGAAUAUGAAUGAUCCUGAUUCAUGUAUAACUAGCUAGGAAUUAAUGCUCUUGCUUGGUACAUUAUCUAGUUACUUGAAUGUAUAGAUGUUUGAAUAAUGAUACUUGAAUUAUAUGGAUUAUAGUAUCGUUUAUAUCGUAAUAUAUCGAGCAU